UCGCCGUUUCUUUCUCUCGCUGUAGGAGGAGGCCAUCCCAGAGCUGGAGAUCGAUGUGGAUGAACUGCUGGACAUGCCCAGUGACGUUGAGCGAGCAGCCAGAGUCAAGGACUUGCUGGUUGACUGUUUUAAACCCACUGAGGACUUCGUCUCAGAGCUGCUUGACAAGAUCAGAGGAAUGCAGAAGCUCUCUACGCCUCAGAAGAAAUAAUGGCAUCCCUCCUUUUUCCCCCACAUGUUCCCGUCCUCUCCGACCCUCACGUCUUGACUUCCUUCCACGCCCAACGUUUAUCUUUUAAUGUCUUCUGCUUCCAUAGAAGGUCAUUAAAUGCAUCGUUUCUGCUUAGAAUUUGACCACCUGACUUCACCCCCGGCUGUCUUGGUCACUUUUCUUCAUAUUUUUUUUUUUUUUGGGUGUACUUUGGACCACUCGAACUUCUUUCAUCCGUGGAAAUAAAUAAUCUGCAAGCCAACUUGUCUGUCGUAAUCCAGGCACUCUCCUUCCCUAUUGUUUCGCCUCCUGCCGUUAUUGGCUCUCUCCUUGCUAAUCUCUCUCCUCUUCCUCCCACUUUCCCAUCUGCCUGAGGAGGAACAGAGUCCCAUAAUUACUGUAAAAGCGGGGUGGGCUUGGAGUGGGAAGGAGAACACGUAAAAUACCAGCCAACCGCCACAAGAAAUGGAGUCAAAACCGAGGAUGAAGAAGGAUCCACCAGCGUGAAUAUGUGAAUAUUUUAACUUGUUUUUAGUUGUCCCAGACACCAUUCAGAGAUUUGUUUCCCAUUACCGGUUCUGUUUGAGGGCAUGGAGAUCAUCACUUUACUUUAACUUUUUAUAGUAAUCUUUUUAGGGAAAUUCUGCCGCCUAAACACUGGCAUUAGUGCAAUGCUGCAUUAAGACAUUUUCAGAGUCUCUUAAAGGGCAUAUACCAUCAUUUUUGCAACUUCUCCUGUGUUCAGGAUCAUAGCUCACGAUAAUUACAAUUAUUUCAAGUCUAAAAUUGAGAAUUAUGUAUUUAAAAAAUCAAAUGGAAAGCAGCCGGAAGUGGCUGAAGAGUGAUGGGGUUACUUCUGGACCGCUAAACUUGGUUAUAAGACAAUAACACAAUGAAUAUCAAGGAUAAGAUCAGUGAUGCCAAAGUCUAAAGGCUCAAAUUUGGGUUCAAAAAGGGAGAAUUUAUAUGGAUGUUUUUUCACUGAGAGGGAUGAAAUCAAGAGAAAUGGCUGUAGCUUGGAAAUCUAACAAACCAGCAAACUAGUGGGAUUUAAAAACUCUAUCAGGAAGUCUUCCUGCAAUUCACCCCAGUGGAGAAUGGCAGCAUGGGAGCAAAACUGUAACUCAAAACUUUUAACAUUAAGGCAGGUUAAAGGUGCAGGUUACUGCAGACUAAAAAGUAAAAGUAAUGCAUUUUCCUACCCGAUCCACAUUAUGCUUACAAACAAACGUCACCUGGGUCUGCCUGUUGACUCCCUGCUUGAGCCAUUCUUCUUAGCCGUGGCAUGAACUGUCAUGUUCCUUUAGUUUUCGGUUGUUGUUUUGUCCGCUUUAAUCCAAAUUCCAGUUAUUUGUUUUAAGCCUAGGACAAAAAAUGUGAAAAUCUCUCCUUCUUACCUGUGUUUGCAGGUAAGGAGCUAAAAUGCUCACUGUGUCCUUUUUCUGUGUCGUCCAUACAUUGGACACAUAUUUCUUAAAAGGGUGCUUAUUGUUAAGAAAAGUACCAUGAGAGAUUUCCAGACGCUACGGCAUCCUCCAUAUAUGGCAGUGCCUUCCUGUUUUAGUAGGUGUGACUCAAUAAGGGUUGUUUUGUGUUCAGAGAAGCACAUUUCAGAAUUUGUUAUCCACUUUGAAAAUUAGUGGAAAGACUGAGAUUGCGUUUGUAUGCGUCAUACGCUCGGGACGUCUAGGCUUUCUGGGUCGGAAAUAUGAUGAUAUAUGCCCUUUUUUUAAAUAAAAACCUGCAUUGUGUCAUUUUUGGUGGAAGAAAAUCUGAAGCUCUGACCACGAAGCGUCACUAAAAUCUGACCUUAGUCCAGCGAAGAGGAAACUUUGAUGCCUGAAAAUAACGGUUGAACCUUUUAGGAAGUUUUUAGACCGUCAAAUAAACGUUUGUUUGGUUUGAAGCUAAA
Long non-coding RNA from Fundulus heteroclitus (mummichog), 2123 nucleotides. RefSeq lists it as uncharacterized. The transcript is spliced from 3 exons. NCBI's taxonomy places the organism in Eukaryota, Metazoa, Chordata, Actinopteri, Cyprinodontiformes, Fundulidae. The record is from RefSeq and is a predicted model, not a curated record.